Long non-coding RNA from Centruroides sculpturatus (bark scorpion), 279 nucleotides. RefSeq lists it as uncharacterized. The transcript has 3 exons. The record is from RefSeq and is a predicted model, not a curated record. NCBI's taxonomy places the organism in Eukaryota, Metazoa, Arthropoda, Arachnida, Scorpiones, Buthidae.
UUGUAUAAAUAGCGAUGUUCAAUUCACUUAGAAAAGAGUUAACUGUGAAGCUCUAUUGAUAAUUCAUUAAAAAUGUUGUUCUUAUUUGCAUUGUUCACGGUGACUUUUGCCAGACACGUCGAUCUCCCGUACAUUGCUUUACAUAAUCCUGAUCUCUUCCAAGGAGACAUUAUUGGAAUUGAAGAUAAUGAUGUCAGAAAUGCCAUACCGAUUGCUUCACGUCGCUGGCCGGGUGGAAAAGUGGCCUUUGUCCUCGAUUCAACUAUGGGUUAGCUUAAA